This is a long non-coding RNA of Talpa occidentalis (Iberian mole), 336 nucleotides long. RefSeq lists it as uncharacterized. Lineage: Eukaryota; Metazoa; Chordata; Mammalia; Eulipotyphla; Talpidae. The record is from RefSeq and is a predicted model, not a curated record. The transcript has 3 exons.
AGCCGCUCCUGAGAGGCGUCUCUGUCAACUCCUCGGGUCCCUGCGCCUCUGUCCCAGCAGGAGAGACUGGGGGGUGAGCACCCCGCUCCCCCUGAGCUCUGAACCCCCGGGGGGACGGGACCGGCUCUGUCUACCCCAUAAGUGUGAUUUUCCAUUUCAGCGCCACCGGCACAAUACAAUACAGGAUCUCAGACAAGUCCGCAGUCAGUGUGGGAACCCCCAGGAGCACCAUGCAGGAGCCCUGGAUCAUCUCUCUGAUCACCCUCCUCGCCUACACCAUCCUGUUUGUCAUCAUCAUCUACUUUAUAACACGGAAGGUAGGCAGAUUGCGGUACC